Cinara cedri is the source of this 238-nucleotide non-coding RNA. The record is from the annotation of a GenBank genome assembly. Lineage: Eukaryota; Metazoa; Arthropoda; Insecta; Hemiptera; Aphididae.
AUUAUUUUAUAUCGACAUUGACGCGAUUACUAUCUGUUCCGUCUUUUUAAGCAUACAAAUUCCAGUGGUUUUCUAUCAUUCGAGAAGAAUCAAUAUCCAAUCCAUUACCUUCAUUUGGAACAUUUAAACACAUAAAAUUUAACGGUUUUUUCUAAUUGAAAAUGAAGCGUCUUGAUCCCUCAAGAAACCCCAAGACGAACACUGUCGAGAAUCCUGCACACAGCAACAACUACGCUCC